Molecule: long non-coding RNA, 2078 nt
Organism: Heterocephalus glaber (naked mole-rat)
Lineage: Eukaryota; Metazoa; Chordata; Mammalia; Rodentia; Bathyergidae
Source: Ensembl
CCUUGAGAUAUUUCUACUUCCCAUUUUCAGGCUCCUCUUGAUCACUGGAACCUUCCCCAUGGGGGGCCCAGACAUCCUUGAGUGAAACCAGCUAUGCUCAAUAAGCAAAGUCCAAAUUCCUGACUCAGAAUUCAGGAGCACAUAUUAUAAAUGGUGAUGUUUUAACUCCUCUACUGGCUGCACCACCACUCUGACCCUGGCUUCCCUCUUAACCCACAGAUGUGAAGGUGUUGUUUUUCUUGUCUACUGCUGAACCUACAGUGUGUCAAGUACUAUACAGCUCAAAGGAGGCAUUGAAUCGCUAGAUUUUAGUCACUGCAGAUCAACCUAACUACGUAGUCCCUGUGAGGCCAUCACUAGGCAUAGCGACUGAUGAGAAUGGAUGUCCCGCUUGCCAUCUGAGCCCCCAAGUUAACUGAUGGUGUGGACAGUUGCGAUGGUGCUGCUUGUGAUGUUCCUGCCUUGGACCCAUGGAUUCACUCCAUCUUUGUCAUUCUAUCUCUGGUGGACAUUGAACUUUAUAAAAUGUGAUAAAAAGUACUUUUAGUCUUGGAAGGAGCAAACUGGACUGUCUGAAAAACAACUUUUUAAGUGAAAACGGGAACUUUUGGUGGAGAUCCACUGUUUCCAAAACCUUGAAGGAACAAAGGUUGCCACUCGCCAGCACCUGGGGAGUCAAUAUGCGUCUAUCAGCUCUUGACUUUGGGCCCAGUGCACCUUCUUGAUCCUGAUUACUGCAGACACCUUCUGAUUCAUCUUCCACAAACCGAGUAUUCGCAGCCCAACUGUUCAGAUGAACCUUAAAUCAGGGAUUGAACUCGGGACCUUGUGCUUGCAAGGCAGGAGGCAGAACAAUUGAGAUAAAUCCCCCGCAGCAUCUUCUUUUUUUUCUUCUUUUGGCCAUGGGACUCCCUCUGCAAUCGACAAGCUGUGUGCUUGGAAAAGAUUUAGAACAAAGACGGUUUUGACUUGUGAGCUUUGCCCACACACAGAGCACAAAAACUGGAAGCUUACACAUUAUCUCUCAUUGGCUGGCUUCAGAGGACAUGAGAUGGUUAAAAAUACUUAAAAAGGAAAUGAAGAAAUCAUGGCAUUUUGUUCACGGUUGUGUGGUUUCCCCGUUGGCUUGGGGAAAGGAGGACAAACAAGUAUUUUCCAGCUAACCCCAGCCACGGCCAGCAAUCUGGUGUUCACCGAAAGAGCAGAGCGUGAAGAGUUCAUUCUGUUGCACUCAACCAUUGAGACACCACCAAGGUGUCACGGCUUGGUCAUUUGACACCAACGGUAGGACAGGAACCAGCUGCCAGUUUAGGGCAAGGGAGUCUUGAGAAAUAAUGGGAGUGUGUUCAACGCAGAAUGAAUGAAAGUUGCUUUUAACACUUCCUUAUAUUUUACCCUGGAUGUGGAGUGGUGCUGUCUAGUAUAUCUCAGUUCUGGUGCUACUUAUUUUAUUUGCUGCGUGCGUGCGUGUGUGUGUGUGUGUGUGUGUGUGUGUGUGUGUUGGGGGAGGGAGUCGAACUCAGGGUCUGUCACAGGAUAGGCAAGCACUCUACCACUGAGCUACACCUCGGCUGCUCAAUUAUAAUUUUAAAUAGUUUGCAGUGCUCCACAGAGCAAUGGAUUACUGCACAGGGCAAAGCAAACUGUUCCUGUUUCAGGACGUUAUUUGCAUGUCCCCCCCCUCCCCCGGAGCUAGAUACAUCUUGGGUUGGGUCACAUGAUAUUGAUGAUCCCAUCUUCAGUGUGGACGGAAGAGAGGUGAUAACUAAGAUACGUUUAGUGCUCCUCAGACUCUCAAAUCCAUCUUUACAAAAUAUCUCGUUUAGCCUGGUGUUGUGGCACAUGCCCGGAAUCGAAGCUGCUCAGGAGGCUGAGGCAGGAGGAUUGGAAGUUGCAGGCCAGCCUGGUCAGUUUAGUGACUUAGUGAUAUAUUGUUCCAAAAUUACAAAUAAAGAAAGCAUAGGAAUGUAGCUCAGUGUGAAGGCCCUGGGUUUUGUCUCCAAUAUCACAAAAAUAAAUAUUUAGAAAAUGAAAUAAAAUAGGCUAGCGAUUGUGUUCAAUGGCAGGGCACCCCUCGG